GGAUGUGGUCUGUUAGGUAAGGAUGCCUGAGGUAGUAAUUUGAACUGAACUCUAAAAGGUGACUAUCAAUUAUCUAGAAGAACAGGUGGUGUGAAGAGCCUUCAAGGGCCAGAGAACAGUCAGUAAGGAGAAUACGGUUGGUAAAAUAUUGAAGAGCAUCUGAAAAGGCAGUUUGGCUGGGACAGAGUAAGAGACGAGGUAGCACAGUUUAAGCUGGAGCCAAGCUAUCCAGAGAACUUCUUUGAAUGCAAAGAAGCCAACAUAACACAGAGACUGAGACUCUGAAGAAUGUGAUAUGGAGAUGGAAAAAUGGGGUAAGCCCUGGGCUGCAUGGUAGCAAUUUCUCUAGCAGACCCUAGCAGAAGAAUCCAUCUCACCCUUCUGAGAUUUAUGAAUCCAACUCCCAUCAGGCUAUCUCUGAGGACCUCCAUUUGAGAUUAUUGCACUAGAAUCAAAUGUGUGCAACAAGUUAGCUGGUUAGAAAGCCUGGUUAUGGUUUUAAUGACUGCUAUGCUGAGGUCCUGCCUUGUUAGUCUUUAUAUCAACACCAUGAGUAUCAAGGGAAAUGAAAGGGUGUGGUCAGUUGAAGAAAGGCAAUUAUUUGAAAUUGGUAUAGUACCAGGGCACAGAGAUGAAGAGUAUGUGGUGAAGAAUAAAAAUUGA
RNAcentral lists this long non-coding RNA (663 nucleotides) under Pan troglodytes (chimpanzee). RNAcentral's name for it is "lncRNA (ENSPTRG00000054159.1)". Lineage: Eukaryota; Metazoa; Chordata; Mammalia; Primates; Hominidae. The record is from RNAcentral.